GUCUCCUUGGUGUAGUUGGUUAUCACGUGGGUCUCAUAUCCUCAAAUAUGACUUCUCCUAAGGAGUAGACAUCCCAAGGUCGCCAGUUCGAGUCUGGCAGGGGACA
Non-coding RNA from Plenodomus tracheiphilus IPT5, 106 nucleotides. NCBI's taxonomy places the organism in Eukaryota, Fungi, Ascomycota, Dothideomycetes, Pleosporales, Leptosphaeriaceae. The record is from the annotation of a GenBank genome assembly.